AAAGAAGAUCUGGAAAAAGGCAGAGAAAGGUGUACUUGUGUAAUAUCACUUGGCUCUUCCAGGAGCUUCUGUGGUGAACUGAACGUUUUCCUCUGGAUAAUACGCUUACGUAGUGGGGAGGUGGAGUCCCCAGGGUGCUGAACUCAUCUGUGCUGCUCGUGACAGCUCCUCUGCGUCCCUGGGAACCACCUCCUGGUCCUAGCGUGUGACAGGACAGCUUGGACUUAACCAUUCCGUGAGGACUCAACAUUAAAUCAAGAUUUAAAGCAGUGCUGGACUAGGAAGUGUGAGCUGUGAGAUAAUUCACUGGUUGUUGUAAAUAUCACUAGAAGAGCUGGUCAGAAG
Molecule: long non-coding RNA, 345 nt
Organism: Nothoprocta perdicaria
Lineage: Eukaryota; Metazoa; Chordata; Aves; Tinamiformes; Tinamidae
Exons: 2
Source: RefSeq, a predicted model, not a curated record